Molecule: ribosomal RNA, 833 nt
Filed under: Streptomyces sp.
Lineage: Bacteria; Bacillati; Actinomycetota; Actinomycetes; Kitasatosporales; Streptomycetaceae
Description: bacterial SSU rRNA
Rfam family: Bacterial small subunit ribosomal RNA
Source: RNAcentral
AUGCAGUCGAACGAUGAAGCCCUUCGGGGUGGAUUAGUGGCGAACGGGUGAGUAACACGUGGGCAAUCUGCCCUUCACUCUGGGACAAGCCCUGGAAACGGGGUCUAAUACCGGAUAACACUUCCGUCCUCCUGGACGGUGGUUAAAAGCUCCGGCGGUGAAGGAUGAGCCCGCGGCCUAUCAGCUUGUUGGUGAGGUAAUGGCUCACCAAGGCGACGACGGGUAGCCGGCCUGAGAGGGCGACCGGCCACACUGGGACUGAGACACGGCCCAGACUCCUACGGGAGGCAGCAGUGGGGAAUAUUGCACAAUGGGCGAAAGCCUGAUGCAGCGACGCCGCGUGAGGGAUGACGGCCUUCGGGUUGUAAACCUCUUUCAGCAGGGAAGAAGCGAAAGUGACGGUACCUGCAGAAGAAGCGCCGGCUAACUACGUGCCAGCAGCCGCGGUAAUACGUAGGGCGCAAGCGUUGUCCGGAAUUAUUGGGCGUAAAGAGCUCGUAGGCGGCUUGUCACGUCGGUUGUGAAAGCCCGGGGCUUAACCCCGGGUCUGCAGUCGAUACGGGCAGGCUAGAGUGUGGUAGGGGAGAUCGGAAUUCCUGGUGUAGCGGUGAAAUGCGCAGAUAUCAGGAGGAACACCGGUGGCGAAGGCGGAUCUCUGGGCCAUUACUGACGCUGAGGAGCGAAAGCGUGGGGAGCGAACAGGAUUAGAUACCCUGGUAGUCCACGCCGUAAACGGUGGGAACUAGGUGUUGGCGACAUUCCACGUCGUCGGUGCCGCAGCUAACGCAUUAAGUUCCCCGCCUGGGGAGUACGGCCGCAAGGCUAAAACUCAA